Molecule: long non-coding RNA, 1793 nt
Filed under: Homo sapiens (human)
Lineage: Eukaryota; Metazoa; Chordata; Mammalia; Primates; Hominidae
Description: HSALNT0128732
Source: RNAcentral
CCAGCAGCAAGUAUCAGCACAGGCAGCUAAGUGGCUACACAGAGAAAAGGGCAACUCAACAAGGGCAGGAAAGGAUACAGAGAGGCCAAGUCAGCCAGAAUGGAGCUUUGAGGAGUGAGAGAGAAAAUCCUUGCAAAGAAAGGUAACAAGCAGCUGGGUUUUGAAAGGCCUUCGCAGACAGUGGGAGCCAUUAAAGUCACCAGAGGAGAUUCACGUGGUCGAGUCACCACUUUGGAAGAUUCAACUGGCAGAGACAUAUAGGAAGGAUUGCAAGGAAUAAAACAAGGAUUGCAAGAAAUACAGGAAGGAUUGCAAGAAAUAAAAAUCAAGCUCAAUGCUGCUCGUAGAGACACAGAAGGAGUGGGUGAGACUAAGAUGCUUCAUGUGGACAUGGUUGCUGAGGACACCCAGCUGCUGGUAUUCAGCAGUUAACUGGGGCUACAGUCCAGAAAAUUAGAAAAGGCAGAGAAGCAAAGCCAUGAGAAAAAGUCAUCCCUCAUCACACCACGCUGAGAUAACCCCUGUUAAUAUGUUUGUGCUGAUCUGCCUGGACUUGGUAACAGCCUCUUACAUCCUCGGUUGGAAGCCAGCCUGGAAACCCUGAAGAAACAAAUGACAGCCAAGAGGACAAUGGCAACCAGCUCCCCCUCUGGGCGGCAUGCUCUUUCUCUCACUUGGUUGGUCUUUCCCAUUGGAGCGGAAGGACUCGAGCCAUGAUCCUUUGUAGAGCUGGACCCUGCCCAGGUACCCAGGGCUGCACAGGCAUUUGGAGAGAUGUUCUGGAGAAGCAGCAAGAAGCCUUGUGCCCUGCAGAAAGCUGUGAUCUGACACAUCCUGAGGCGUCCCAAGUCUCCAGCUCUACGUUUGUCCCUAAAGAGGUGUUUUGCCAGACUGCUUGCAUAAGCACCUCUAGAUAAGCCUCUAGCAGCAAGAUUAUGGCUCAGUAGGAUUCACCACUUGCACCUGCAGCUGGAGUAGGAAAGAAGGCGGGCUUCAGAGCCGAGAAUGCAAGCCCCUGGGAAGGCCCUGUGCACUCAGUGCUCUGCUGGGCCCUGGAUGGUCCCACGGAAGUGAAAGUCACAAUUCAUGCCUUCGAGGAAUCCAUAGUCUUCCAGCAAAAAUUUGGAAACAACUCAGAAUCACCAUGCAAAUGUGGCUGUGAUAGCAAUUAUCUGCCAGGGGGCUGCAUGGCGUGGUGUCUUCCGGGCUGACCCUGGGGCUGCACUGCCUGGGUUUGAAUCCUGGCUCUGCAUAGUACUUUGGGUAAUCGCUUGUGCUCUCUCUGCCUCCGUUGCUUCAUUUGUCACAAAAGCAUCACAGUACCCACUUAUAGUGUUGUCAUGAGAAUCGUUUGGAUUAUUACAAGUAGAGUACUCUGCAAGUGUUCAUUAUGGAUUAGAGCAGGGGCUUUUGAAGCACACGGCAUAGUGGAGUUAGUCCGGAAGGCUGCCUGAAGAAGGCUCCUGCUUCGCAUGAGCUAAGCAGUACAGCAGGGAAGGAGUCUGAAUAUGCCUGCUCAGCUGGGUGGAACACAGUGACCAGAAAAAUCUAUCCAUCCUGCUUUUAUGCAACCAUCGGGCCUGAGGUCUGGUUGUCCCAUUAUGGCCUGUAAUGGAGCCGAGGAGUCAGAGGAUCUGUUUGCCCAGGGCCGAGGCAGCUUGUUGCAUAACCAGGGUUGCUGUAUGGCACUUUGCAGAGGAGGGCAUGGCUGAGAAGUGUGUCCCAGCAGCCGGGAGCUCAGGGGGACUCUCCUGGCCUAAGCAGUGCAGCUCCCCAGCACCCACCUCCUACCC